UAGAAAUGAGAGAAAUCUCUCAUUUACCCUAAUACAUAGCCUAUUGGGUUGCAAAAUUGCAGCUAAACCCCUCAACUUUCCACUCUGUGCACUGCCUGGACUGGGCAUUCCGCGCGGGCAGAGACCGGUCUCCCCGAGCAGGGACCGGUUCCUGAACGUCCACCCUGCGCAGCCAGAGCUGCUGCGCGCAGUGCAACCGGUCUCUCCUUGUGGGACCGGUCUCUGGGGGACCGGUCUCUCAGGCAGAGACCGGUUCCCGAGAGCUAUCCUUCCAGGACUUAGCCGAUUUUUCGGCUGUCUCAUUUCAUACAUGUUCGGGGACCGGUCUCUCCCUUUAGGGACCGGUCCCCGAGAGCUGAAAAUCUGCAGUUUUGCAGAAUUGAUUCUCUAGCUCUCGAAAACCUUCCACAACUCACUUUUAAUCAUUUUAACACCUUCGGACUUUCCGAAGUGUACUAUCCUCGCACUUUGGUCAAUUUGACUAAAGUUCGAUACUUUUAUUUUCCGAAUUUUCGGUAUAUUACAUUCUCCACCCCUUAAAAUAAUUUCGUCCGCGAAAUUACGCAUACCUUAACUCGUCGACUCGAAUAGAUGCGGGUACUCUUUCCGCAUUGCCUCCUCGAGCUCCCA
This 630-nucleotide long non-coding RNA is filed under the name Ananas comosus (pineapple). RNAcentral describes it as "long non-coding RNA (ACOM_LNC031614)". Lineage: Eukaryota; Viridiplantae; Streptophyta; Magnoliopsida; Poales; Bromeliaceae. The record is from RNAcentral.